UACGUAGGGUGCAAGCGUUGUCCGGAAUUAUUGGGCGUAAAGAGCUCGUAGGUGGUCUGUCGCGUCUGGUGUGAAAACUCAGGGCUUAACCCUGGGCCUGCAUCGGGUACGGGCAGACUAGAGUGUGGUAGGGGAGACUGGAAUUCCUGGUGUAGCGGUGAAAUGCGUAGAUAUCAAGCGGAACACCAGUGGCGAAGGCGAGUCCCUGGACAACUCCUGACACUGAGGCACGAAAGCUAGGGGAGCAAACAGG
Molecule: ribosomal RNA, 253 nt
Filed under: uncultured bacterium
Lineage: Bacteria
Description: partial 16S ribosomal RNA
Rfam family: Bacterial small subunit ribosomal RNA
Source: RNAcentral